UCUCCGUAGGUGAACCUGCGGAGGGAUCAUUACAGAGUUCAUGCCCUACCGGGUAGAUCUCCCACCCCAUGUUAUUAUUACUUUGUUGCUUUGGCGGGCCGCUAGGCUCCGGCACGACGACCGGCCCCGGCCGGUAAGCGACCGACAUAGGACCCAAAACCCUGUAUAUUGGUGUCGUUUGAGUACUAUAUAAUAGUUAAAACUUUCAACAACGGAUCUCUUGGUUCUG
This 229-nucleotide unclassified non-coding RNA is filed under the name plant metagenome. RNAcentral describes it as "partial contains small subunit ribosomal RNA, internal transcribed spacer 1, and 5.8S ribosomal RNA". The record is from RNAcentral.